AGAAGAGGGUGCAUGAGUUGCUUCAUGCUGCCUGCUUACAGGCAUUGGCAUUGUAGCUGCCACCCUUGUGCCCACGGAGAUGGGAGGAGGCGAGUGGAGGGCGCAGCGGCAGGAGUCCUGUGCUCUGGGAGGAAGGCUUUGUACAUGGGAGCUGUUGGCAUCACAUCUGUCAGGCCGGUGCCCAGAACUGGGGCAAUGGAGACUGGGGGAUCCAGGAAGCAGGGAGGAGGGGCAGAAUGUGUUUCUGAUGUUGCUGUCCCUCUAGAAGCUCAGCUCUGAAAAAUGGUUGGAGUAUGAGGUGAUUAGUGCUCUUCCAGCUUGAGGAAGUAAAGUGGUGGAGAGAGUAGCCAGGGAAGUGCCAAGAAACAGUCUACGAGCCAGGGAGGAGGGAGUGUGCCACCGUACCCAGGGAGAACUUGUUGGGGCUGGCAAUCUGGCCCUUUGUCAGAGUAUUGAAGGAGACAGCAAGAGGACCAGAUGUGAGGCAUGGGGAGUGGAGCAACAGACGGAGAGUGGCAUGAAGACACAAAGGAGGAAGCACACCAUUGCCAAGACCCCAAGGAAGAAGGAUGGAAAGCGCUGGCAGUCCUGCCUGGCCCCCAGCCAGUUCCCUGCUGAAGAUGGCCAGAUCCCCUUGUCUGGUCUGU
Molecule: long non-coding RNA, 647 nt
Filed under: Homo sapiens (human)
Lineage: Eukaryota; Metazoa; Chordata; Mammalia; Primates; Hominidae
Description: non-protein coding ZFHX2-AS1:40
Source: RNAcentral